Molecule: long non-coding RNA, 1032 nt
Filed under: Carassius auratus (goldfish)
Lineage: Eukaryota; Metazoa; Chordata; Actinopteri; Cypriniformes; Cyprinidae
Description: lncRNA (ENSCARG00000004402.1)
Source: RNAcentral
AUGGCUGAGUGGGAAGAGAGUGUUCAGGUGACCAGGGAUAUGUGUGAGAAGAUGAAGAACCAGGUGACCAGUGUGCAGGUGAAGGAGCAGGUGACAAGUGUGCAGUAUCGAAUUUGUUUAUUCGGUGAUGGACAGACAUCUGUUGUACCAAUCAGUUGGAUUUUUGAUGACCAUGGAACAUUGAAGUGUCGAUGGACAUCAUCACUCUCAAACAUUAAAAACAAUUCUCCACCAAACCCUAACUGGAAGGUUUAUGACAUUGUGAAGAUCGUUGGACCAUCAAUUGAUGAUAAGAACUUGAAGCAGUCAGGAAAUGAAGUGAAGCAAUCUGGUCUGAAGUCAAGAAAUGUCCCAUUGCUCAAACCUCCUAUAUACCAUGAUACUCUUCAGAGAAGUGGGAAAAAAGAUGAGGAUGAUCCCAAGCCCACAGGCUCUGAUGUCUCAGAAUUUCAUGAUCUUCAACAACAUCACAUGACUUAUAAAGAAAUUACAGUGCAAACCAGGAUACCAGAUGAUGUGCAUUUAAAGAAGUCAAGAAAUGCAAUGAAGCGAGUUGGUCUGAAGACAAAGAAUGUUCAGCUGGCCAAAACUCCCAGAUACCAUGUAGUCAAGAGUCCACUUAUUCAGAAAGCUCUGUGCGUCAAAACAUCUGGUGACUGUCUGGAUGAUAACAAUGAAAGCCCUGAUGACAGUUAUUUAAACUCAAGCCAGCCCAACCCAGUAUUCUUAGAUACUCUUCAGGGAAAUGUGGCAAUGCAUGAGGAUGAUCAUCCCAAAAGCUCUGCUUCUUCAGGGAAGGAACCAAAGGAAACAAAAUGCAAAGUCACCAUGGAGAAAUUGUUUGAUCUGAAUACUAAGAUACUCCAACAAAUUCAAAUGCUGGAACAGAGACAAGCUGUCAUCAUGAAUGACUUGGCCAAAGUUAAGUCUGUUCUCAUGAAGCGGGCAGAAGAAGAUGCCCAUGAGGAACAUUUUAAACAACAACAGUGCUCCAGCUUUGAAAUGUUUGAAGCCUUUCUGUCAGAGGCUUGA